GUCAGCAUGGUAUAGUGGUUUGAAUGUUGGACUAGGACUCUGGAGACCAGGGUUCAGUUCCCAGUUCUUGGG
This 72-nucleotide transfer RNA is filed under the name Phrynosoma platyrhinos (Desert horned lizard). RNAcentral describes it as "tRNA-OTHER". The record is from RNAcentral. Lineage: Eukaryota; Metazoa; Chordata; Lepidosauria; Squamata; Phrynosomatidae.